CUUAAAGGCACAUCGAGCCCUGCAGUCAGUGGGACCCAGCAGGGGAAAAACUGCUUAAAAGGGGAGAAGAAAAAAAAAAAAGGAGGAAAGAAAGAAAAAAAAAAUGGGGGGGGGGGGGGGGAAGCAUGAGGAAAAGCGGUAAGGAUAGGGCUUGGCUGAUUAGCUUAUUAGGAGAGCUGGAGCUUUGCUGGACACGGUUUAUCCACCAGCAUCAGGCCUCCGUCCCUGCUUCUCCCGAAAUACUGUUCUGCAGAGGAGAAAAAAGGAGCGGGGGAAAUAAGGGGAAAAAAAUAAGAAGCUGGAGCCCAAGGAAUCACUGUGCAAUUUAUUCCAAGGGGUGGCUGUUGAGAAGGCGGCAAUUUGUGGAGGCCGGGGGUUAUUUAGUGCGAUAUGAAAUCAAAUGAUCCUAUUGCUCAAAUAACAGUGUCUGGGAGGAGAAGCGAGCGCUCCAAAGGUAAUUGUCUCCAGAUGAUAUUCCUAUUAUCCCCCAAUCCCGGCCUAAACGCUGCCAGCGCCGGACUGGAAUCGAUACGGGGGAAGGACCGGGGAGAUCCCGGGUCCGGGGAGAGGCAUUCCCGGCACUGACUCCCCUCGGGAAGAGCGGCAGGGCUUCAGGAAGACCCUAAAUUCCUGUGGCUGCGGCUUGUCCGUGCCUCGGCGGGAGCGGCACCACCGGCGGGGGAGCCGAGCCCGGAGCCCAGCAGCAGCAGUAGCAAGAACUGAGCUCAAGCAGGAUGGAGUGGCCUGGCCAAGCCGUGACCCCACUGGCAGGAGCUGUAGAGUGGACAGCAGAGGGAACAGCUUGGUUGUGAAGGUGCUGUUCUCCUGAAAGAGGAUCCUGUCAAAAACAUGGCUUGGUGCAUGGGGUGGCACGCCGAAGGCAAGACAGCAGCAGACACUUGAAUGGAGACUCCUCGUGUUUACAGCCUGGUCACAUGAGUGACUGAGACCCGAAAUCUCCCUGACAUCCUCUCUGGAUGCUUGGCCUUGGAACAGUCUCAUUCGUGCCACACCUGCUCCCUUCUGCUCAUGGAGCCUUCUAUUCUGCACAGGACACUGGAAAAGCACUUGGAGAGGCUGGAGAAGGAAGCGGGCUUCCUGGAAAAUGCUCUCUAAACAAGGCCCUUCCCUGUGCCAUGGCUUUUCUGGGGCUCAUUAAUAUCAGUGGUUCCUGCUGGAGGAAUUCUCCUCACCUUCCCCAAGGCAGCAGAUCUGAGGCCAGACGUGAUGUGCACUGCUUGUGCAUCAGACACGAGUAAUAACAAGUUUUGAGGAACUGUACCACUUAAUAAAAGCAUUUUACUACAUUUAAAUGUAUUAAAA
RNAcentral lists this long non-coding RNA (1323 nucleotides) under Chloebia gouldiae (Gouldian finch). RNAcentral describes it as "Erythrura gouldiae (Gouldian finch) lncRNA (ENSEGOG00005003286.1)". Lineage: Eukaryota; Metazoa; Chordata; Aves; Passeriformes; Passeridae. The record is from RNAcentral.